GACGAACGCUGGCGGCGUGCCUAAUACAUGCAAGUAGAACGCACAGUUUAUACCGUAGCUUGCUACACCAUAGACUGUGAGUUGCGAACGGGUGAGUAACGCGUAGGUAACCUGCCUGGUAGCGGGGGAUAACUAUUGGAAACGAUAGCUAAUACCGCAUAAUAUUAAUUAUUGCAUGAUAAUUAAUUGAAAGGUGCAAUUGCACCACUACCAGAUGGACCUGCGUUGUAUUAGCUAGUAGGUGAGGUAACGGCUCACCUAGGCGACGAUACAUAGCCGACCUGAGAGGGUGAUCGGCCACACUGGGACUGAGACACGGCCCAGACUCCUACGGGAGGCAGCAGUAGGGAAUCUUCGGCAAUGGACGAAGGUCUGACCGAGCAACGCCGCGUGAGUGAAGAAGGUUUUCGGAUCGUAAAGCUCUGUUGUAAGAGAAGAACGGGUGUGAGAGUGGAAAGUUCACACUGUGACGGUAGCUUACCAGAAAGGGACGGCUAACUACGUG
This 505-nucleotide ribosomal RNA is filed under the name uncultured bacterium. Its description in RNAcentral is "partial 16S ribosomal RNA". It matches the Rfam family "Bacterial small subunit ribosomal RNA", at positions 28 to 507 of the family's 1533-position model. The record is from RNAcentral.